This 1011-nucleotide long non-coding RNA is filed under the name Phoenix dactylifera (date palm). RNAcentral describes it as "long non-coding RNA (PDAC_LNC016426)". Lineage: Eukaryota; Viridiplantae; Streptophyta; Magnoliopsida; Arecales; Arecaceae. The record is from RNAcentral.
UGGAAAGGAUCGUAUCGAGUUGCUCGGGUCCAACGGCCUGGAGCAUACAAGUUGGAGUCCCUUGAUGGGACCCCCAUUCCCCCCAGGAUGUCCCUAAGAUGACUCGAGUCCUUAGGGAAAAUCCCAGGAUGUCCCUAAGAUGACUCGAGUCCUUAGGGAAAAUCUAGCGAUGCCCCGGCCAAGCUCGGGAUGCCUCGACCAAGUUCGGGAUGCCCUGACCAAGCCCAAGAUCUCUCGACUAAGUUCGAGAUGACCCGCUAUGACGACCUCGGAUCCUAUCUAAUGACGUUCCGACCAAGUUCGGGACGCCCCACUGCGUCGACCGCGAGCCUAGUCUCCCUAGACCUCAGGUCCUAUCUAAUGGCAUUCCGACCAAGCUUGGGACGCCCUGCUGCAUCGACCGCGAGCUCAGUCUCCCUCGACCUUGGGUUCUGUCUAACGAUGUCCCGAUGAAGUACGAGGCGCCCCGCCGAGUCAACUGCGAGCUAAGGCUCCCCCGAUAUCGGGAACUACCUAACGAAGAUUCGAUUAUGGUCUUAGACGCCUGAGGCAGAGACUACGGGUCGAAAAGCACUCAAGUUCCAACAGCAACCCAGCCUCGACUCGCACUACAACUAAAUCCAAGCCUAAAGACUUAGCGGAAUUCUUCAAGAAUCCGAGCCCAAACACUUAGCGCAAUUCUUCAAAAAUCUGAGCCUGAAGACUUAGUGGAAUUCUUCAAAAAAUGUCGAAAUUACAUGCGAAAGUAAACGAUGCUCGAAGUUCUACUCAAAUAGUCAAAAAUAAAAGCUCGUUGGAAGUGCGAAUGAAAACGAGUCAAAAACACAACAGAAUGGAAAAAAAGCAUAUAUAUUUCAUUGAUGAAAAGUUGUAAGGCUAAGUACAAAUUUUUGGCUCCAAGGCCGACCCACUUGGCCGCACAAUGGCCUUGGUGGCUGACCUCAUUUACAAAAAAAAGAGAGAGAAAAGAAAAACUAAGUCCUAAGGCAUUUCUGGAACGGCGAUGGUCUC